This is a long non-coding RNA of Gasterosteus aculeatus aculeatus (three-spined stickleback), 846 nucleotides long. The record is from Ensembl. NCBI's taxonomy places the organism in Eukaryota, Metazoa, Chordata, Actinopteri, Perciformes, Gasterosteidae.
UUUUUUUUAGAGCUGGAUGCAAAAUUGUUGCUAGACACCCUGCUUCAGCCGGUCCAUCCACAUCGCUGACAUUUUUUGGGGUAACGAGUAAAUUACACAAGAGGACAAACGUUAUUGCUCCUUUAACACUGACGAAUCCAGCAGAGCCGAUCUACUAUUUAUGUUCUUACAUUUUGAGGUCAGACUCACCAAGCCAAACCGCAAUCUGAAGUGGUUUCUGAGAAUUACCCACCCAUGAAGUAGCUCAGAGCGACCCCGCCUAAAGGGAAGGAAUGGGAGGAGCUGCCUUUGACCCCCGUUGCUAUGGAUGAUGUCAGCAUUGAGACGCCUCAUGAAUACUUCCUGCUGUGGAGGGAUCAGGGGUUUCUUAACCUUGGAUGGGAAAGGAGAUUAACUCCUUUUAUAUACUGAAAACAUGAAGAGAGACACGUGGAAUAGGUUUAACCGCCAUAUAUUUAUACCUAAUUUAAUACUGAGAUAUUAAAGGAAGAUUUUGUCUAGUGACGAGAUAGUGCAACAAACUUCUGUUAAGAUCUAUACUUAAAUCAUCUUAAAAUAGAAAUGAGCUGGAAACUCAUUGGAUAUGAACGAAUUCAUUCAUUUAGUCAUGCGCUUUCUAUCGAGGACAUGUGGAAAAACGGGUAUCUUCAAUUUCUUUACUAAUGAAAUUUCCAUUGAAGGCCUAUAAAUAAAAUGUACUUUUUUUUCGAAAUAUUACAUUACACUUAUUUGUGUGUAUUAAAUGUCACCACCACUGGCUUUGUUAUCGUGGUCUGAAUCAACUGACCUUUUGGUAUAUUGGUGCUUAACGAUACGGAGAAAUAAAGUUGCCUCGGCAACAAGCGG